GAGUUUGAUCGUGGCUCAGAUUGAACGCUGGCGGCAGGCCUAACACAUGCAAGUCGAACGGUAACAGGAAGCAGCUUGCUGCUUCGCUGACGAGUGGCGGACGGGUGAGUAAUGUCUGGGAAGCUGCCUGAUGGAGGGGGAUAACUACUGGAAACGGUAGCUAAUACCGCAUAAUGUCGCAAGACCAAAGAGGGGGACCUUCGGGCCUCUUGCCAUCGGAUGUGCCCAGAUGGGAUUAGCUUGUUGGUGGGGUAACGGCUCACCAAGGCGACGAUCCCUAGCUGGUCUGAGAGGAUGACCAGCCACACUGGAACUGAGACACGGUCCAGACUCCUACGGGAGGCAGCAGUGGGGAAUAUUGCACAAUGGGCGCAAGCCUGAUGCAGCCAUGCCGCGUGUAUGAAGAAGGCC
This 411-nucleotide ribosomal RNA is filed under the name uncultured microorganism. Its description in RNAcentral is "bacterial SSU rRNA". It matches the Rfam family "Bacterial small subunit ribosomal RNA", at positions 9 to 416 of the family's 1533-position model. The record is from RNAcentral.